AAGAGGAUUGUGUAUGUGUAAGCAUUUUUGAUUGUGUACCAUUUUGCCCCCUGGGGUUAUGUUUAAUAACAAAGGCUAAUUCUAGUUGGUGCAAAUAUCAGGGUUCUUAAACAUUAGUUUUAUUCCACCUUAAAGCUGACUGCUUCUCCCUUGAGCACAAUUCUGAGGUUUCAUGGAAGUCAAGAACCCUGUGACAGUUGCUCUAAAUAUAACUUGCCAAGAUACAUGUUUGAUCUGUGUGGCAAAGCCAAGUUAUCUGGUCUGUGAAUAGGUAUUCCAUAAUUCCCCUGCUUACUACAGGCCUGGCUUCUAGAGCCUAAGCUUAUGUCAGAACUGUUGUCAUUUCAAAGAGCUAAACCUCUCCAAAUGGAGUUAAUGGAAACUCCUAAACUGCUUGUGCAGGGCUUGAGUGCAAUGAUUACAUUUAGGAUCCAGAUUUAGUGCCUCCACCUCCAUCUCUCUGUCUGCCUCCAGCUGAUCAAAGGAGCUUUUCCCAAAGAUGAAAAAGUGGUCAAAAUGGCCACUUCCCAAAUUUCAGGCACACUUGAAGAGUGUCAGGUGGAUGCAACCCAAGAGCCUUUUAUCAUGCUGCCCAGGAUGUGGAGGCUGAGACAUGAAACCAGUCACUGAUGACAUCAGUGUGUGGAGGCCCCAGAGAGCUGGAGGAGCAACUCUCCAGCUUUCCACGCACAAGAGGACCACUCUGGCUGCUUUGCUGGGAAGAGACUACAGUGAAGCAAUGUAGGAGAAGGGAGAACAGUUAAGAGCCCAUUACGAUGAGAAUUCAAGAUUAUAAUCGUCUGGACCAGAGUGAUAGCCAUGAAGAUGGUGAGACAUGGUUGGAUUCGAGAUGCUGUGCCUGAGGUCCAGAGAGUCAAAGGAACUUGCCCUUGGUCAUCCAGCCAGGAAGUGAGCCCCUAUUCAUGACCACCUCUCUUGUAAUUAGCCACUUUCAUGAUGAAUACCAUGGCAAGAAAGCUCCAAACCUCCUGUCUUUCAGAGUCACACCUUCCAAAAAGGUCUGGAGGAAGCCAGCUGCCAUGUGGUGAGGACAUCCCAGCAUUACUGUGGGGAGGCCCACAUGUAGCCAGUGAGGAACUGAGGCCUCCAGCUAACACCCCAUGAGGGAGCUUGAAGCAGCACCUCCAGACCCAGAUGACUGCACUGACAUCUUGACUACACUUUCAUGAGAAACCCGGAGUCAUAACCAUCCAGCUAAGCUGCUCCCAGAUUCCUGAUCCUGACAAAUCAUGUGAGAUAAAUAUUUGCUGUUCUAAGUCACUAAGUUUUGGGGUAAUUUGUUACACAGCCAUAGACACCAUGAUUUCCCCUAGCUUAGGAAGCCUGAAGACAGCAAUAGAAUAGAAGGAAGACAGUACUCGGAAGCACCUUAGAGGGGUUUUGGUAGAUUUCAGUUUCUCCACAAUGCCACACCCUGAACAAAGGAGAGUAAAAGGAGAGUAAAGCAAAGUGACUGCACCUUGUGGAAAUUCUGAUCAUGAAGGAUACAGUGCCAUCUGGGAGAAAGAGACCUGGCCCCAGGCUCCAUCCCAGCACCUCCAAAUUCCUGUGAGACCACCAGAAAGCUUCUUAAUUUUUCUAGGCCUUUGUUUAUCAAUAAAACUGCUAUACUACUUCCUCUUGAGUGAGGAAAAUGGAUACAGUCCACAUGAAAGGACUUCAGAAAGAGUUAAACCUGUUACACAACCCUUAGACAGUAACAACAUUAACAUCAUCACUCUCCACCCAGAGAUGGAGUGUAAGGGUUUGAGUUUUAUCUCCCACUCCCCGAAAUCAAACAUGAGGUCACUUGGGGACACAUGAAGACUCUAUAGCAUGAGGAGCAAACUCAAACACUCCUUGGGGCCCAGUGGGCAGCAUAAAUGUGUGAAGCAGGCUGGGGGAGGGAACAGUGAGGAAUGGUGGAACUGUGCCAAACUAGAGUGUU
This is a long non-coding RNA of Choloepus didactylus (southern two-toed sloth), 1948 nucleotides long. RefSeq lists it as uncharacterized. NCBI's taxonomy places the organism in Eukaryota, Metazoa, Chordata, Mammalia, Pilosa, Megalonychidae. The transcript has 5 exons. The record is from RefSeq and is a predicted model, not a curated record.